RNAcentral lists this ribosomal RNA (492 nucleotides) under uncultured bacterium. Its description in RNAcentral is "partial 16S ribosomal RNA". It matches the Rfam family "Bacterial small subunit ribosomal RNA", at positions 28 to 507 of the family's 1533-position model. The record is from RNAcentral.
GAUGAACGCUAGCUACAGGCUUAACACAUGCAAGUCGAGGGGAAACGACAUCGAAAGCUUGCUUUUGAUGGGCGUCGACCGGCGCACGGGUGAGUAACGCGUAUCCAACCUGCCCAUCACUUGGGGAUAACCUUGCGAAAGUAAGACUAAUACCCAAUGAUAUCUCUAGAAGACAUCUGAAAGAGAUUAAAGAUUUAUCGGUGAUGGAUGGGGAUGCGUCUGAUUAGCUUGUUGGCGGGGUAACGGCCCACCAAGGCAACGAUCAGUAGGGGUUCUGAGAGGAAGGUCCCCCAGAAUGGAACUGAGACACGGACCAAACUCCUACGGGAGGAAGCAGUGAGGAAUAUUGGUCAAUGAGCGAGAGCCUGAACCAGCCAAGUAGCGUACAGGAAGACGGCCCUAUGGAUUGUAAACUGCCUUUGAAAGAGAAUAAAGUGAGAGACGUGACUCUUUUUGUAUGUACCUUAUGAAUAAGGACCGGCUAAUUCCGUG